GUGGGGAAUUUUGGACAAUGGGCGCAAGCCUGAUCCAGCCAUGCCGCGUGCAGGAUGAAGGCCUUCGGGUUGUAAACUGCUUUUGUACGGAACGAAAAGACUCCUUCUAAUAAAGGGGGUCCAUGACGGUACCGUAAGAAUAAGCACCGGCUAACUACGUGCCAGCAGCCGCGGUAAUACGUAGGGUGCGAGCGUUAAUCGGAAUUACUGGGCGUAAAGCGUGCGCAGGCGGUUAUAUAAGACAGAUGUGAAAUCCCCGGGCUCAACCUGGGAACUGCAUUUGUGACUGUAUAGCUAGAGUACGGCAGAGGGGGAUGGAAUUCCGCGUGUAGCAGUGAAAUGCGUAGAUAUGCGGAGGAACACCGAUGGCGAAGGCAAUCCCCUGGGCCUGUACUGACGCUGAGGUGCGAAAGCGUGGGGAGCAAACAGGAUUAGAAACCCGAGUAGUCC
This 450-nucleotide ribosomal RNA is filed under the name uncultured bacterium. Its description in RNAcentral is "partial 16S ribosomal RNA". It matches the Rfam family "Bacterial small subunit ribosomal RNA", at positions 354 to 796 of the family's 1533-position model. The record is from RNAcentral.